GGCCGGUGAUGUAAAAUGAUAUUUGCUACUCUUGAUUGAGAAUUUGUUUUCUCAUCUGAUGAUUAUUAUCCACCAAGAUCUCUGAGGCC
Small nucleolar RNA from Impatiens glandulifera, 89 nucleotides. RefSeq annotates it as small nucleolar RNA SNORD24. The record is from RefSeq and is a predicted model, not a curated record. The transcript has a single exon. Lineage: Eukaryota; Viridiplantae; Streptophyta; Magnoliopsida; Ericales; Balsaminaceae.